This 794-nucleotide ribosomal RNA is filed under the name Microbacterium sp. RNAcentral's name for it is "bacterial SSU rRNA". It matches the Rfam family "Bacterial small subunit ribosomal RNA", at positions 228 to 1034 of the family's 1533-position model. Lineage: Bacteria; Bacillati; Actinomycetota; Actinomycetes; Micrococcales; Microbacteriaceae. The record is from RNAcentral.
CGACCAAGGGCUAUCAGCUUGUUGGUGAGGUAAUGGCUCACCAAGGCGUCGACGGGUAGCCGGCCUGAGAGGGUGACCGGCCACACUGGGACUGAGACACGGCCCAGACUCCUACGGGAGGCAGCAGUGGGGAAUAUUGCACAAUGGGCGGAAGCCUGAUGCAGCAACGCCGCGUGAGGGAUGACGGCCUUCGGGUUGUAAACCUCUUUUAGCAGGGAAGAAGCGAGAGUGACGGUACCUGCAGAAAAAGCACCGGCUAACUACGAGCAAGCAGCCGCGGUAAUACGUAGGGUGCAAGCGUUAUCCGGAAUUAUUGGGCGUAAAGAGCUCGUAGGCGGUUUGUCGCGUCUGCUGUGAAAUCCCGAGGCUCAACCUCGGGCCUGCAGUGGGUACGGGCAGACUAGAGUGCGGUAGGGGAGAUUGGAAUUCCUGGUGUAGCGGUGGAAUGCGCAGAUAUCAGGAGGAACACCGAUGGCGAAGGCAGAUCUCUGGGCCGUAACUGACGCUGAGGAGCGAAAGGGUGGGGAGCAAACAGGCUUAGAUACCCUGGUAGUCCACCCCGUAAACGUUGGGAACUAGUUGUGGGGUCCUUUCACGGGAUUCCGUGACGCAGCUAACGCAUUAAGUUCCCCGCCUGGGGAGUACGGCCGCAAGGCUAAAACUCAAAGGAAUUGACGGGGACCCGCACAAGCGGCGGAGCAUGCGGAUUAAUUCGAUGCAACGCGAAGAACCUUACCAAGGCUUGACAUACACCAGAACACCGUAGAAAUACGGGACUCUUUGGAACUGGUGAA